Molecule: non-coding RNA, 23 nt
Filed under: Rattus norvegicus (Norway rat)
Lineage: Eukaryota; Metazoa; Chordata; Mammalia; Rodentia; Muridae
Source: RNAcentral
CUUACUUCAUGCCGUAUGAAAGA